AUUGAACGCUGGCGGCAGGCCUAACACAUGCAAGUCGAGCGGAGCGGCGGACGGGUGAGUAAUGCCUAGGAAUCUGCCUGGUCGUGGGGGAUAACGUCCGUAAACGGGCGCUCAUACCGCAUACUCUCAGAUGAGCCUCGGUCGGAUGAGCUAGUUGGGGGGGUAAAUGCCUACCAAGGAGACGAUCCGUAACUGGUCUGAGAGGAUGAUCAGUCCAACUGGAACUGAGAACCGUGCCAGACUCCUACGGGAGGCAGCAGUGGGGAAGAUUGGACAAUGGGCGAAAGCAUGAGCCAGCCAUGCCGCGUGUGUGAAGAAGGUCUUCGGAUUGUAAAGCACUUUAAGUUGGGAGGCGUUACCAACAGAAUAAGCACCGGCUAACUUCGUGCCAGCAGCCGCGGUAAUUC
Molecule: ribosomal RNA, 407 nt
Filed under: uncultured bacterium
Lineage: Bacteria
Description: partial 16S ribosomal RNA
Rfam family: Bacterial small subunit ribosomal RNA
Source: RNAcentral